Heterocephalus glaber (naked mole-rat) is the source of this 779-nucleotide long non-coding RNA. NCBI's taxonomy places the organism in Eukaryota, Metazoa, Chordata, Mammalia, Rodentia, Bathyergidae. The record is from Ensembl.
GUGAGUCAAUAGGAAAAUGAGUUCAGUGUGGAACUGGCCCAGGAUAGAAAAGCCACAAUGACUCCAUUAUUGUCUACUAAAGAACAGUAAGAAGAUAUUGGAUCCCAUCUACCUGCUGAAAUCUCCCAAGGUGAAAAAUGAGACUAUUCUUUUCUGAAACAUCUGGAUACUUUAAUUUAAAAGACUAAAGAGGAAUAAGAAACAGAGCCUGUCCUCAAGAGGUGGAAAUGAAGCAACCAGAGAAAUGAGCACAGCAAGAGAUUUAAAAUAAAAUUCGACUGUAUUGGAGGCCCCUGAAGUGUCAUGGCCCUGCUCACUGUGCCUAGUGGAUCAGUCCACAGAAAAUCUAUUUAUAGAAUGAAGCUUGACGAAACCUUGAGAGCAUCUAUUCUACCUUGGACUUAUUGGUGAAGAAACUGAGCCCCACAGAAUUUAACCUACUUUAAACUGAAAUCUGAAAAGCAGAACAAUUGUUGAAUUUGAUCAUUGUUCUUUAUGAUACUGAACACUAGUUUUUUAUGGAAAGAGGGAAAUGGGACAGGGAAGAAUCUUGGAGAUGAGGAAGAGGGGGAGAAAAGAGGGGAAAGGGAUUGCAAAUGAUCGACAUGUGUUAUGUUAUACACAGGUACGAACUCCCCAAAAUGAACAUCAGUAUAUACGAAAAGAGAUCAAAGGGGGUAAGCAUGCGCCAGAAUCACAUAACCACACGUUUUCAAAAUACAGGUUUCUGCCUAUAAAAAGUAAAGAACUUUUAUAAUUGGAGCAUGUUUGUAAAAGGC